This 369-nucleotide long non-coding RNA is filed under the name Salvator merianae (Argentine black and white tegu). RNAcentral describes it as "lncRNA (ENSSMRG00000009507.1)". Lineage: Eukaryota; Metazoa; Chordata; Lepidosauria; Squamata; Teiidae. The record is from RNAcentral.
GGCAAUUCAAGAUCCAAUGUUAGGAGAAAGAGAAGUGAAAUCUGUCAUUUCCCUUUUGAUAAAGAGAGCUGGAGAUCAGCACCCGACCAUCCGUCAGAUGGGAGUCAAAGGCCUUGGGAAUGCUUUUCUCUCGGCACCUGAGAAGGUGAAAGAACACAAGAAGGCCAUCGUAGCUGUUUUUCUGGGCGCUUUAUAUGACUCCAGGGUGGUUCUGGAGAGUCUCAGGGCACUUGCCUUGGUCCUUCCACACCUAAAGGGGAGAGAUGUUGGCUUCCUAUUUAAAGACCUCUCCGUAAAGGUCGCAACAUACCUGAGCGAUGAUGAUGCUAACAUCCGAGAGGCUGCACUCCAUGUCUUUGGCAUCUUGGC